GGACUCGCUCCCUCGCGCCGUGCAGAUCUCAGGACGCGCUCCCUCGCGCCGUGCAGAUCUCAGGACGCGCUCCCUCACGCCGUGCAGAUCUCAGGACUCCCUCACGCCGUACAGAUCUCAGGACGCGCUCCCUCACGCCGUGCAGAUCUCAGGACUCGCUCCCUCACGCCGUCCAGAUCUCAGGACUCGCUCCCUCGCGCCGUGCAGAUCUCAGGACGCGCUCCCUCGCGCCGUGCAGAUCUCAGGACGCGCUCCCUCACGCCGU
This is a non-coding RNA of Pelobates cultripes (western spadefoot toad), 265 nucleotides long. Lineage: Eukaryota; Metazoa; Chordata; Amphibia; Anura; Pelobatidae. The record is from the annotation of a GenBank genome assembly.